This 253-nucleotide ribosomal RNA is filed under the name uncultured bacterium. RNAcentral describes it as "partial 16S ribosomal RNA". It matches the Rfam family "Bacterial small subunit ribosomal RNA", at positions 524 to 776 of the family's 1533-position model. The record is from RNAcentral.
UACGUAGGUGGCAAGCGUUGUCCGGAUUUAUUGGGCGUAAAGCGAGCGCAGGCGGUUUCUUAAGUCUGAUGUGAAAGCCCCCGGCUCAACCGGGGAGGGUCAUUGGAAACUGGGAGACUUGAGUGCAGAAGAGGAGAGUGGAAUUCCAUGUGUAGCGGUGAAAUGCGUAGAUAUAUGGAGGAACACCAGUGGCGAAGGCGACUCUCUGGUCUGUAACUGACGCUGAGGAGCGAAAGCGUGGGGAGCGAACAGG